Long non-coding RNA from Scophthalmus maximus (turbot), 1325 nucleotides. RefSeq lists it as uncharacterized. The record is from RefSeq and is a predicted model, not a curated record. The transcript has 4 exons. NCBI's taxonomy places the organism in Eukaryota, Metazoa, Chordata, Actinopteri, Pleuronectiformes, Scophthalmidae.
ACAAAGGGCAAUUAAGAUCUAGCAAAGCAGUGUGGCAGAUGCUGCUAUUUGGGCAUCGUUGUAGUUUUUCAUAUCUGAAAAUAUCCAGAGGCCAAAUCUCAGUUCAAACAGGACCUGCCAGAUGUUGCUAUGAGGGUUCUUGUUGAGGAAGUAAGGUGACCAACGACACAGAGAGAAACACACACGGCCUCGGACCCACUGUGCCGACGAUGUGAAUUCAUUGAUGUCCAAUGGAGCCAGACUAGAUGUAGUCCUUGACCCCAACAAUCCCUGAGGGGUGAGGGCUGGAGCCUGGCCUAUCGGUGUCUCCUCCCUGCCAGUCAACACCGCCUCUGCUGCCAGUAAUACAGCUCUGACUUCAACUCUGACCCCCGACGCUGCUCCGCGGCCGGUCGACCGGCCAGCCAGGGGGGCCCAGGGCCAGGCCUCCAGAGGAUCCAGGUCUGUGUGGUCUCUGGGUGGAGACUUUAGUGGGGGAGAGGCAGACAUCCUAAUUACAGCCAGUUUGGUUAGUUGGAAACGUGAACCCAGGAAGUAAGACAGUGCCAAGACAGUUUGUCCUUUGAUCGGCUCACCGGCUGAGCCGCUGGUGGUGCCCACCACAGAAGGUUUAGGGGGGGCCGGGGGCACGGUACUGUACCGUUUGAAUGUCAUGGUUUAUACCCAAGAAAUGAGUAAAAUGAGGAGGUAAUAAUUUGAAAUGUACAACACAUUUCACUGAAUUAGCAACAGAGAAAGAAUUUGGCAAGGAGGCCACAUCAACGUGAAGCGUGUUCAUUUAAUGUGCGACCAUGAAGGACAAAGUCCCUGCAGAGUCCAGAGCUGAUGGUGAGCGAGGCCGCGGGUAUCCAGGAAGAUGGAUGAGAGGAGAGGUGGCACAUGUACAGUCGACGAUGGUCCAUUACUACAGUAGCUGGUACAAUGGGACUUCUGGUGUCAUGCCGGGCCAGGGGCUGCGUGCUCGCCGCGUGGAUGACAUCAAAAGCGACACUGCACGUCGACUUGCCCUUCGCGAAUGCAAAAGAGCGCAGGGGAUCAAACGCGUCGAGCACAGACACAGACACACAAUCAAACCCUCUAAAUGCCCGAGGUGCAAGGAUGCUGUUUGUGGGAAACACACAGCAUCGGGGACGCUGAGUGGUUGUGCCGGGCGUGCGCGAUGUGAAGCGGAACAAAAAUCAAACAUUUAACAUUUUUCAGCUUUAUUUCAUCCCCAGUGUUUCAGUAGCCCAGUGUUGCUUUUAUUGUUGUGGUUUUCUUUCUUUUUCUGUGUAGCUCCUUGCAAUUUCAUCAGGAAAAGUGCUUUAUAUAUAUAAAAAGUUUAU